This 420-nucleotide ribosomal RNA is filed under the name uncultured bacterium. Its description in RNAcentral is "partial 16S ribosomal RNA". It matches the Rfam family "Bacterial small subunit ribosomal RNA", at positions 361 to 773 of the family's 1533-position model. The record is from RNAcentral.
AUAUUGGACAAUGGGGGCAACCCUGAUCCAGCCAUGCCGCGUGUGUGAAGAAGGUCUUCGGUUUGUCACGCACUGUAAGUUGGGAGGAAGGGCUUUAGGUUAAUACCCUGAAGUCUUGACGUUACCAACAGAAUACGCACCGGCUAACUCAGUGCCAGCAGCCGCGGUAAUACAGUGGGUGCAAGCGUUAAUCGGAAUUACUGGGCGUAAAGCGCGCGUAGGUGGUGCAGUAAGAUGGGUGUGAAAACCCCGGGCUUAACCUGGGAAAUGCUUUCAUAACUGCUGAGCUAGAGUACGGUAGAGGGUAGUGGAAUUUCCUGAGUAGCGGUGAAAUACGUAGAUAUAGGAAGGAACACCAGUGGCGAAGGCGACUACCUGGACUGAUACUGACACUGAGGUGCGAAAGCGUGGGGAGCAAAC